UGGCCCAGUGGUUGAGAGUUUGGCUGCUAACCAAAAGGUCAGUGGUUCAAAUCCACC
This 57-nucleotide transfer RNA is filed under the name Loxodonta africana (African savanna elephant). It matches the Rfam family "tRNA", at positions 8 to 63 of the family's 71-position model. From Rfam's summary of the family: Transfer RNA (tRNA) molecules are approximately 80 nucleotides in length. Their secondary structure includes four short double-helical elements and three loops (D, anti-codon, and T loops). Further hydrogen bonds mediate the characteristic L-shaped molecular structure. tRNAs have two regions of fundamental functional importance: the anti-codon, which is responsible for specific mRNA codon recognition, and the 3' end, to which the tRNAs corresponding amino acid is attached (by aminoacyl-tRNA synthetases). tRNAs cope with the degeneracy of the genetic code in two manners: having more than one tRNA (with a specific anti-codon) for a particular amino acid; and 'wobble' base-pairing, i.e. permitting non-standard base-pairing at the 3rd anti-codon position. The record is from Rfam by way of RNAcentral. Lineage: Eukaryota; Metazoa; Chordata; Mammalia; Proboscidea; Elephantidae.